Molecule: unclassified non-coding RNA, 291 nt
Filed under: uncultured fungus
Lineage: Eukaryota; Fungi
Description: partial contains 5.8S rRNA, ITS2 and 28S rRNA
Rfam family: Eukaryotic large subunit ribosomal RNA
Source: RNAcentral
AAGGAGUCUAACAUCUAUGCGAGUGUUUGGGUGUCAAGCCCGAACGCGCAAUGUAAGUGAACGGAGGUGGGAACCCUUAAGGGUGCACCAUCGACCGAUCCUGAUGUCUUCGGAAGGAUUUGAGUAAGAGCAUAGCUGUUGGGACCCGAAAGAUGGUGAACUAUGCUUGAAUAGGGUGAAGCCAGAGGAAACUCUGGUGGAGACUCGCAGCGGUUCUGACGUGCAAAUCGAUCGUCAAAUUUGGGCAUAGGGGCGAAAGACUAAUCGAACUAUCUAGUAGCUGGUUCCUGC